UUUUAAAACUGUAAGCCAUAGAAUUUACUAUUUACACCUACUUUAGACAUUUAUUCUGCUUACAAUAUCACAGGCAUGGAAUGAAUUCUAUCUGAUAGUGCUAAUACAUAAAGGUGCGGGACAAAGAAGGAAAAUACUUAGUGUUACAAAAUAUGGAUCGUAGAAAAGAAACCCACUCCACAAGUGUGGCAUCUGUUUAGAAUGUUUGGACAUGCUUUCUUCAAAAUUUCUGGAAAAGGUUCUAAAAUUGGUAGUAGGAAAGGACAAAUGAGCAGGUGCAAAUUCUCCUCUGUGCAACAACAGUUAUUGAAUAUACCCCAUGACUGACCAGCUACAUAAAACCCACAGAGUUUUGUUAAAGUGCCAUGGGCUGACAGCAUAACAAAAUAGAAGGUGUAAAUAGAAAAUUUCUUUUUUUCCUUUUUUAAAACAAGAGUUCACUGAGAAUCAGCAAUAAUAGAAUAUGCUGUAUAAACUAUUCUCUACAAAGGUUGAUCAGCAUUAUUUACAAUUGGUACAUUGAUACAAAAGAAGGCAUACAAGUUAUCCAGGUCGCUUUUUUUUUAUGGCUGACAGGUCUAUGCAUUGCGUUACGCUUUAACAACCAGAGCUUUCGAGCCUCUAUGGCGACAAGUCACAAGAUCUUCAGGCAGAUGCUUUAUAGGCUGGUCCAGUUGAACUCCAUCCAAACAAACUGAAAGAAAACCUUUUAUUUGCAUUCCAUUUUUCAAGCUGUGAGUUUUGAAUACAUCAUUAUAAAGUAAACCUGUAGCUGACUGUGAAGGAAGAAACACCGUGGGUUUUCCCUUUUUGCUCAGUUUCCAGAAAUGUCCUCACCUUGGUCAGAGCCAGUCUUUCACCAAGUAAGCAGCAUUCAGUGGGGAGCCUCUUAAUUCCAGCUUGCAAUUCAAGAUGUAGAGAGCUAAAAUGUUUAAAAUCCAUUGAAUUGCUCCUUUAGUCCCUGUCGAGACAUUAUUUCUCAGAAGCAGCCACUUAAUCUCUCAACCUUUGUUUUCCCUCUNNNNNNNNNNNNNNNNNNNNNNNNNNNNNNNNNNNNNNNNNNNNNNNNNNNNNNNGUUUUCACUCCUGCAAGUAUUACAACUCAAAAUAAAUUAUUUAAAAAAAAAAACAACAGACUUCUAAAACUGAACGAGACAAAAAUUGUGCAAAAAUAACAAAGAUAUGUACAUACUUUUCAGUCUGAAGAAAUGUACAAUAAAAACAUAAUUCAAAGAACAUUUUAAAAAUAUAAACAUUGCUUCAACUUUCCUAAGUUUCAUAUUGUUUCUG
Molecule: long non-coding RNA, 1290 nt
Filed under: Capra hircus (goat)
Lineage: Eukaryota; Metazoa; Chordata; Mammalia; Artiodactyla; Bovidae
Description: lncRNA (ENSCHIG00010008114.1)
Source: RNAcentral